CGGCGGACGGGUGAGUAAUGCCUAGGAAUCUGCCUGGUAGUGGGGGACAACGUUUCGAAAGGAACGCUAAUACCGCAUACGUCCUACGGGAGAAAGCAGGGGACCUUCGGGCCUUGCGCUAUCAGAUGAGCCUAGGUCGGAUUAGCUAGUUGGUGAGGUAAUGGCUCACCAAGGCGACUAUCCGUAACUGGCCUGAGAGGAUGAUCAGUCACACUGGAACUGAUACACGGUCCAGACUCCUACGGGAGGCAGCAGGC
RNAcentral lists this ribosomal RNA (257 nucleotides) under uncultured Pseudomonas sp. RNAcentral describes it as "partial 16S ribosomal RNA". It matches the Rfam family "Bacterial small subunit ribosomal RNA", at positions 96 to 354 of the family's 1533-position model. Lineage: Bacteria; Pseudomonadati; Pseudomonadota; Gammaproteobacteria; Pseudomonadales; Pseudomonadaceae. The record is from RNAcentral.